GUCUGGUGCCAGCAGCCGCGGUAAGACGGAGGAUGCAAGCGUUAUCCGGAAUUAUUGGGCGUAAAGCGUCUGCAGGUGGCCAAUCAAGUCUGCUGUUAAAUAUCGGGGCUCAACUCCGAAUCGGCAGUGGAAACUGAUUAGCUAGAGUGCGGUAGGGGUAGAGGGAAUUCCCAGUGUAGCGGUGAAAUGCGUAGAUAUUGGGAAGAACACCAGUGGCGAAGGCGCUCUACUGGGCCGCAACUGACACUGAGGGACGAAAGCUAGGGGAGCGAAUGGGAUUAGAUACCCCAGUAGUCCUAGCUGUAAACGAUGGAUACUAGGUGUUGGCCGUAUCGACCCGGCCAGUAUCGUAGCUAACGCGUUAAGUAUCCCGCCUGGGGAGUACGCACGCAAGUGUGAAACUCAAAGGAAUUGGCGGGGGCCCGCACAAGCGGUGGAGUAUGUGGUUUAAUUCGAUGCAACGCGAAGAACCUUACCAGGGUUUGACAUGCCGCGAAUCUAGGGGAGACCUUAGAGUGCCUUCGGGAGCGCGGACACAGGUGGUGCAUGGCCGUUCUU
Molecule: ribosomal RNA, 558 nt
Filed under: uncultured bacterium
Lineage: Bacteria
Description: bacterial SSU rRNA
Rfam family: Bacterial small subunit ribosomal RNA
Source: RNAcentral